AUCCUUUUGUAGUUCAUAAGCAUGAUGACUGGGUGUUCACGCUGUUAUGUGACAUGUGCCUUCCCUCAAACCUUGUUACAAUCUUGGCAUAUUACCAUGAUU
Non-coding RNA from Canis lupus familiaris (dog), 102 nucleotides. NCBI's taxonomy places the organism in Eukaryota, Metazoa, Chordata, Mammalia, Carnivora, Canidae. The record is from Rfam.